AACAACUACCUCUUCCCCUACUGUAUUUAUUUAUUUUAUUUAUUUUGCUCCUUUGCAUCAUAUUAUUUAUAUUUUAACUUUUAACUUUCUUCAAACUACAAAUCUACCAUUCCAGUGUUUUUCUUGCCAUACUUUAUUUACUUUGCCACCAUGGCAUUUUUUUUGCCUUCACCUCCCUUAUCUCACAUCAUUUGCUCACAUUGUAUAUAGUCUUAUUUUUUUCUACUGCAUCAUUGAUUGUAUGUUGUUUUACUCCAUGUGUAACUCUGUGUUUUUGUAUGUUGUCGAACUGCUUUGCUUUAUCUUGGCCAGGUCGCAAUUGUAAAUGAGAACUUGUUCUCAACUUGCCUACCUGGUUAAAUAAAGGUGAAAUAAAAAAUGUUGUCACCAAUGCAAACAUAUUUUCACUUUGAGAUUUCCCAACACUGCCCCCUUUCUCCACCUCUCUCUCUAUCCCCACUUUCCUUCUCUCUCAGGAUUAAGAUCCUGGGUGUGUUUGUGGAGCGGCUGUUGGAGUCUGUUCUUUCGGAGGAUACCCCCAGCCAUGGGCAGUCUGGACGCGGCCAAGCAAUGUCUGCAAGACCUGGGGGCUCUGACGGCUGACGAGAAGCUCACCCCUCUGAACUACCACCUGGCCUGUCUGCCCAUGGACGUCCGCAUUAGCAAACUCAUGCUGUUUGGUGCCAUCUUCCGCUGCCUGGACCCUGCCCUCACAGACGCUGCCAGCCUGGCCUUCCCCCUUCAAAAAGCACUUUUUACUACUGUUUGCCUGAGUUUACUAAUGGCAGUCUAUCAGAGCCUUGGGUUGAAUUGGAAUGAGUAGAAAUGUGAACUUCCGUGAGGCUUUCCAUUUUCACACAGACGGUCACAAGUUUCUCUCUCCUAUUCCCCCUCUCCUGUUUUUUCUCUUCUUUUUUUUCUCCUCUCCUGCAGUGUUUUCUUCCUGUGGCCAGGUGUCUCCUUGGGAUAAGAGGGAGGAGGCCAAUGAGAAUAAGCUGAGUUACGCCCUGGCUAACAGUGACCAUCUGGCCCUGCUGCAGGGAUACAAGCUGGUGUGGUGCAGCCAACAACGUGAACCAGGCUUGGUUUCAGUACUGCUGAGAGAACUUCCUGCCUGGCAGGGCCUUACAGGUCAGAUACUGUUCUGUGGCAUCUUUCCUGACAGGUGGCAUUAGUACAGUGUUGUAAUAUACGGUACUUGCAAGAGUCUCUGAUGUGCUUUGUGGUUUGCAGGAGAUAACCAGUCUGAAGAGGCAGUUUACGGAGCUGUUGUCUGACAUUGGCUUUGUCAAGGAGGGACUGAGGGCCAGAGUCAUAGAGAGAAUGGCUGCCAAAUGGACUGAGGGUGUCCUGGAGGCUAGGGGCUGCGAGGUAGAACACACACACACACACACACACACACACACACACACACACACACACACUGUGUGUGUGUGUAUAUAUAUAUAUAUAUAUAUAUAUAUAUAUGUAUAUAUAUAUAUAUAUGUGUGUAUGUAUAUAUGUGUAUGUAUGUGUGUGUGUUUCAAUCAGA
This 1531-nucleotide long non-coding RNA is filed under the name Salmo trutta (river trout). RNAcentral's name for it is "lncRNA (ENSSTUG00000006476.1)". The record is from RNAcentral. Lineage: Eukaryota; Metazoa; Chordata; Actinopteri; Salmoniformes; Salmonidae.